UACAGAGGGGGCAAGCGUUGUUCGGAAUUACUGGGCGUAAAGGGCGCGUAGGCGGCCUGCUAAGUCGAACGUGAAAUCCCCGGGCUCAACCCGGGAACUGCGUCCGAUACUGGCAGGCUUGAAUCCGGGAGAGGGAUGUGGAAUUCCAGGUGUAGCGGUGAAAUGCGUAGAUAUCUGGAGGAACACCGGUGGCGAAGGCGGCAUCCUGGACCGGCAUUGACGCUGAGGCGCGAAAGCUAGGGGAGCAAACGGG
This 253-nucleotide ribosomal RNA is filed under the name uncultured bacterium. RNAcentral's name for it is "partial 16S ribosomal RNA". It matches the Rfam family "Bacterial small subunit ribosomal RNA", at positions 524 to 776 of the family's 1533-position model. The record is from RNAcentral.